UAGGGAAUAUUGGGCAAUGGUCGGAAGACUGACCCAGCCAUGCCGCGUGCCGGAUGAAGGCCUUCUGGGUUGCAAACGGCUUUUACCAGGGAAGAAAAUACUCUUGCGAGAGGAACUGACGGUACCUGGUGAAUAAGCACCGGCUAACUCCGUGCCAGCAGCCGCGGUAAUACGGAGGGUGCAAGCGUUGUCCGGAUUUAUUGGGUUUAAAGGGUGCGUAGGCGGCCAAGUAAGUCCGUGGUGAAAGCCCACAGCUCAACUGUGGAACUGCCAUGGAUACUGCUAGGCUUGAGUACAGACGAGGUAGGCGGAAUGGAUAGUGUAGCGGUGAAAUGCAUAGAUACUAUCCAGAACACCGAUUGCGAAGGCAGCUUACUAGACUGUAACUGACGCUGAGGCACGAAAGCGUGGGGAGCGAACAGGAUUAGAUACCCUGGUAGUCCACGCCGUAAACGAUGAUAACUCGAUGUUGGCGAUAUACCGUCAGCGUCUUAGCGAAAGC
RNAcentral lists this ribosomal RNA (502 nucleotides) under uncultured bacterium. RNAcentral describes it as "bacterial SSU rRNA". It matches the Rfam family "Bacterial small subunit ribosomal RNA", at positions 355 to 858 of the family's 1533-position model. The record is from RNAcentral.